GUGGGGAAUUUUGGACAAUGGGCGCAAGCCUGAUCCAGCAAUGCCGCGUGCAGGAAGAAGGCCUUCGGGUUGUAAACUGCUUUUGUACGGAACGAAACGGUCCGGGUUAAUACCCUGGGCUAAUGACGGUACCGUAAGAAUAAGCACCGGCUAACUACGUGCCAGCAGCCGCGGUAACACGUAGGGUGCAAGCGUUAAUCGGAAUUACUGGGCGUAAAGCGUGCGCAGGCGGUUUUGUAAGACAGGCGUGAAAUCCCCGGGCUCAACCUGGGAAUUGCGCUUGUGACUGCAAGGCUGGAGUGCGGCAGAGGGGGAUGGAAUUCCGCGUGUAGCAGUGAAAUGCGUAGAUAUGCGGAGGAACACCGAUGGCGAAGGCAAUCCCCUGGGCCUGCACUGACGCUCAUGCACGAAAGCGUGGGGAGCAAACAGGAUUAGAAACCCGUGUAGUCC
Molecule: ribosomal RNA, 450 nt
Filed under: uncultured bacterium
Lineage: Bacteria
Description: partial 16S ribosomal RNA
Rfam family: Bacterial small subunit ribosomal RNA
Source: RNAcentral